UACAGGGGGCUCGAGCGUUAGUCGGAAUCACUGGGCUUAAAGGGUGCGUAGGCGGCUUGUCAAGUGUUUUGUGAAAUCCCACAGCUCAACUGUGGAACAGCAGGGCAAACUGACAAGCUUGAGGCAGGUAGGGGCCGGAAGAACAGUUGGUGGAGCGGUGAAAUGCGUAGAUAUCAACUGGAAUGCCGAUGGGGAAGCCGUCCGGCUGGGCCUGUCCUGACGCUGAGGCACGAAAGCGUGGGGAGCAAACAGG
RNAcentral lists this ribosomal RNA (253 nucleotides) under uncultured bacterium. Its description in RNAcentral is "partial 16S ribosomal RNA". It matches the Rfam family "Bacterial small subunit ribosomal RNA", at positions 524 to 776 of the family's 1533-position model. The record is from RNAcentral.